This is a non-coding RNA of Nemania abortiva, 95 nucleotides long. NCBI's taxonomy places the organism in Eukaryota, Fungi, Ascomycota, Sordariomycetes, Xylariales, Xylariaceae. The record is from the annotation of a GenBank genome assembly.
GGGCGAAUGGUCUAGGGGUAUGAUACUCCCUUCGCAUCGCUGAAUUCUUCAGUAGAGAAUGGGAGGGGUCCGGGGUUCAAUUCCCCGUUCGUCCA